GUAGGUGAACCUGCGGAAGGAUCAUUAUCGAGUUAGGGUACCCUUCUAGGGCCCGACCUCCAACCCGGUGUCUAAACUUACCACUGUUGCUUCGGCGGGCCCGCCUGUAAAAGGGCCGCCGGGGGCCUCUGAGCCCCUGGUCCGUGCCCGUCGAUAGCCCACAAAAAUUCUUGAUCAACCGUGUCUAGUCUGAAUACAAAUAAAAAUAAAGCAAAAAACUUUCAACAACGGAUCUCUUGGUUCUG
This 245-nucleotide unclassified non-coding RNA is filed under the name rhizosphere metagenome. Its description in RNAcentral is "partial ribosomal RNA internal transcribed spacer region". The record is from RNAcentral.